GCUCUCAUCACCUAUAUACUCUUCUCUCUGCCCGUCUCUGCUUCCCCCCCCUUCCCCCCCCCCUUUUCUCCCGGCCGACGGAGCUGAAGGGGCGGGGGUUCCUUCCUUGGAGUGUUUCUAGAGCUCGGAGGCUGCUGGUAGGGGGGCACCACUUUCAGAUAAAAACAUAGACCUGAAUGGCAUCAUCCAGUAUCCAAGGAAACCAUUGUGUCUGUAACCAGCUAAUGAGCUGCAACAGAGCCUGGCCUUCAUUUUCAGCAAAUUAAGUUCAUCCCUCAUAGGAAUUGUGGUCUGGCUGUGGCACCGCUCCUAGACAUGACAAACUCCAAAAGGAAACCCAAGCAGCUAUUUGGCUCCCUUAAUUAAUGAAGUCGCCCAGUAUGGAUAAUUCAGGUUCUCUAAACAUGAAUAUGCCUUUGGGGGAAGACAGAAGAACAUGGAAGCCAUGUGAAAAAAACGGAUCCUAAGGCAGUUUUGAACAUCUGGAGGCCUGAUUUAUUGGAGAUUGCAAAUGUACAGUGUAACAUAGCUGUGGAGAGCGAGAAGAUCAGGAUUGUCAAUGCUGUCAUUGCUUUUACUGGAAUCCCCAGCACGAAUUGAAGGUCUCACUUUGCCACCUAGGCUGGAUGCAAUGCAACGGUAUGUUGAUCUUGGUUCACUGCAGCCUCAACCUCCUGAGCUCAUGUGAUCCUCCCACCUCAGUCCCCCACGUCGCUUGGAUUACAGGCCUGUGCCACCACACCUGGCUAACUUUUUUUGUAAUUUUUGUAGAGACAGGGUCUCACUAUGUUUCCCAUGCUGGUCUUUAAUGCCUGAGCUCAAGCCAUCCGCCUGCCUCGGCCUCCCAAAUUGCUGGGAUUACAGGCAUGAGCCACCAUGCCCAGCCUAAUUCUUCUAAAUCUUAUCCUAGUAAUUAAGCCAGAAUUUUUCUCUGCCAAGACCAAUAGAUGGACCAAGAAGUACUCAUCCUUGUAAACUUUCUUUGGAUAAAUUGCUUACAUAUAAUAAAUUCAGAGUUAAGUAAUAAAAAUAAUGAACUACUGUCUUG
RNAcentral lists this long non-coding RNA (1048 nucleotides) under Homo sapiens (human). Its description in RNAcentral is "HSALNT0091094". The record is from RNAcentral. Lineage: Eukaryota; Metazoa; Chordata; Mammalia; Primates; Hominidae.